CUUGGUCAUUUAGAGGAAGUAAAAGUCGUAACAAGGUUCCGUAGGUGAACCUGCGGAAGGAUCAUUACCGUGGGGCUUCGGCCCCAUGAGAUAGCACCCUUUGUUUAUGAGUACCCUUGUUUCCUCGGCGGGCUUCCCGCCAUGAGGACCAUAAAAACCCUUUGCAGUAGCAGUAACUUCAGUUAUAAUAAAUAUUAAAACUUUCAACAACGGAUCUCUUGGUUCUGGCAUCGUGAAGAACGCAGCGAAAUGCGAUAAGUAGUGUGAAUUGCAGAAUUCAGUAAUCAUCGAAUCUUUGAACGCACAUUGCGCCCUUCGGUAUUCCGUUGGGAUGCCUGUUCGAGCGUCAUUUAAACCUUCAAGCUAUGCUUGGUGUUGGGGUUUGUUCCGCCUCAGCGCGUGGACUCGCCUCAAAUUCAUUGGCAGCCGUAUGUUGGCUUCGUGCGCAGCACAUUGCAAGCGAUUUCAGCAGACUCCCUCCAUAAGCCCUUUUUUUACUUUGACCUCGGAUCAGGUAGGGAUACCCGUGAACUUAAGCAUAUCAAUAAGCGGAGGA
This 556-nucleotide ribosomal RNA is filed under the name uncultured fungus. RNAcentral describes it as "eukaryotic LSU rRNA". The stretch from base 199 to 349 matches the Rfam family "5.8S ribosomal RNA". The record is from RNAcentral. Lineage: Eukaryota; Fungi.